CUACGCACUCCUACGGGAGGCAGCAUGGGGAAUAUUGCACAAUGGGCGCAAGCCUGAUGCAGCCAUGCCGCGUGUAUGAAGAAGGCCUUACGGGUUGUAAAGUACUUUCAGCAGUGAGGAAGUGGGUAUGUUAAUAGCAUACUCAUUUGACGUUAGCUGCAGAAGAAGCACCGGCUAACUCCGUGCCAGCAGCCGCGGUAAUACGGAGGGUGCGAGCGUUAAUCGGAAUUACUGGGCGUAAAGCGCAUGCAGGUGGUUUGUUAAGUCAGAUGUGAAAGCCCGGGGCUCAACCUCGGAAUUGCAUUUGAAACUGGCAAACUAGAGUACUGUAGAGGGGGUAGAAUUUCAGGUGUAGCGGUGAAAUGCGUAGAGAUCUGAAGGAAUACCGGUGGCGAAGGCGGCCCCCUGGACAGAUACUGACACUCAGAUGCGAAAGCGUGGGGAGCAAACAGGAUUAGAUACCCUGGUAG
RNAcentral lists this ribosomal RNA (470 nucleotides) under uncultured bacterium. RNAcentral's name for it is "bacterial SSU rRNA". It matches the Rfam family "Bacterial small subunit ribosomal RNA", at positions 329 to 793 of the family's 1533-position model. The record is from RNAcentral.